GAUGAACGCUGACAGAAUGCUUAACACAUGCAAGUCGACUUGAAUUUGGGUUUUUAACUUAGGUUUGGGUGGCGGACGGGUGAGUAACGCGUAAAGAACUUGCCUCACAGCUAGGGACAACAUUUGGAAACGAAUGCUAAUACCUAAUAUUAUGAUAAUAGGUCAUCCUAUAAUUAUGAAAGCUAUAAGCGCUGUGAGAGAGCUUUGCGUCCCAUUAGCUAGUUGGAGAGGUAACGGCUCACCAAGGCGAUGAUGGGUAGCCGGCCUGAGAGGGUGAUCGGCCACAAGGGGACUGAGACACGGCCCUUACGCCUACGGGAGGAAGCAGUGGGGAAUAUGGGACAAUGGACCGAGAGUCUGAUCCAGCAAUUCUGUGUGCAAGAUGAAGUUUUUCGGAAUGUAAAGUGCUUUCAGUUGGGAAGAAACAAAUGACGGUACCAACAGAAGAAGUGACGGCUAAAUACGUG
Molecule: ribosomal RNA, 467 nt
Filed under: uncultured bacterium
Lineage: Bacteria
Description: partial 16S ribosomal RNA
Rfam family: Bacterial small subunit ribosomal RNA
Source: RNAcentral